ACAAACCAUACCAAAUUAAGUUGAAUAUAUAUAGCACAUGUUUCUACAUGUUUAGAAACUUGUCACAUUCUUGCAUCCAAAUGUUCAAUAUAAAUUCCCAGAAAAUUAUAUACAUCAAUGGACAUUCCUUUAACAAUUUCCUGCAAUUUCAGGCUGCCUUUGAUAAAUCUCUAUUUUUGCUGCUGCAUUUGGCCGACCACUUUGACCUAACAGAAUUCUUGUGUAUUCUUUUUAAUCGGCCGACCACAUUAACCUAUCAAAAUUCUAGUUUAUUCUUUUUAACAUAUUCUCAGAUAUUUUGUGCCUUCUUGGCAACAUCUAGUUCCAUGAAUUUGAGCAAGAGAAUUCUUGAUCUCUCACUUUCCCUUCGUCCAUAUCGUAGACAAGUUGUUGCAUUUUAAAUUUUGCUGCAGUUGAGUACCUUAUGGUUGACAAGUCUUGCUAUCGUUGAACUUUUGAAGUUGGCAAAGAAAAUUUGCAUAAUGCAAUUAAAAAAGAAUUUUAGGGUUUCAAACCAAGAUAAUGUGUCUAAUACAGGAAGCCAAUUUUUGUUCUUUCCCCAACAAUCUAAAUAAGCAAAUAUACAUCUUAAUUUCCGAAGAUUGGGUGUUUUUCUCACCACCCCCUCUACAUUUUUC
Molecule: long non-coding RNA, 638 nt
Filed under: Capsicum annuum
Lineage: Eukaryota; Viridiplantae; Streptophyta; Magnoliopsida; Solanales; Solanaceae
Description: long non-coding RNA (CANN_LNC010494)
Source: RNAcentral